This 512-nucleotide long non-coding RNA is filed under the name Mytilus galloprovincialis (Mediterranean mussel). Lineage: Eukaryota; Metazoa; Mollusca; Bivalvia; Mytilida; Mytilidae. The record is from RNAcentral.
AAAAAAAAACAUAUGGUAAUUUGUCAAUAAAAUAGGUAAAAUAUUAAUUACAGAACAGAAGAAUUUCAUAUCCGAGACAGAGAGAAUUAAAUAUUGUAAAGAGAUAAAGAAACUAAAAAGAAAAGAGCAAAAAAAUAAAAGUUACAAUAAAUAUAAAGAAAAAUACAACACAAGCCGAAUCAGAAUUCCGAAAAGUUCAUUUGCUUGCGUAUCUACCAGUAGCAAAUAUUUCAUACAUAUUCAAGACUUUGAAGUAUCCAUAUCGGUCAAAAAUGAUUACAAUCAAAACGAACAAAGUAUACUCGAUUACCGACGUAAAACGUCAAAGGAGUAGGUCCAGUAAGACCCCUUUUUGGCCCCAAAAUAUAGCAGUUUUACAAAAUUGUUAAAAUGUAUACUUUUAGUUAUUUGUUGGAGAGAAGAAUGCUUGUGCUACAUAAAAAUGCCAUUAUGGGCUGUUUUUGACAAUACGAUUUACAUAUAUCGAAUACGUGUAAAACGAAAGUGGCCGC